Molecule: ribosomal RNA, 421 nt
Filed under: uncultured microorganism
Description: bacterial SSU rRNA
Rfam family: Bacterial small subunit ribosomal RNA
Source: RNAcentral
GAGUUUGAUCGUGGCUCAGAUUGAACGCUGGCGGCAUGCCUUACACAUGCAAGUCGAACGGCAGCAUGAUCUAGCUUGCUAGAUUGAUGGCGAGUGGCGAACGGGUGAGUAAUACAUCGGAACGUGCCCUGUAGUGGGGGAUAACUAGUCGAAAGAUUAGCUAAUACCGCAUACGACCUGAGGGUGAAAGUGGGGGACCGCAAGGCCUCAUGCUAUAGGAGCGGCCGAUGUCUGAUUAGCUAGUUGGUGGGUAAAGGCCCACCAAGGCGACGAUCAGUAGCUGGUCUGAGAGGACGAUCAGCCACACUGGGACUGAGACACGGCCCAGACUCCUACGGGAGGCAGCAGUGGGGAAUUUUGGACAAUGGGCGAAAGCCUGAUCCAGCAAUGCCGCGUGUGUGAAGAAGGCCUCGGUUGUAAG